Molecule: ribosomal RNA, 497 nt
Filed under: uncultured bacterium
Lineage: Bacteria
Description: partial 16S ribosomal RNA
Rfam family: Bacterial small subunit ribosomal RNA
Source: RNAcentral
GAUGAACGCUGGCGGCGUGCCUAAUACAUGCAAGUCGAGCGAACGGACGAGAAGCUUGCUUCUCUGAUGUUAGCGGCGGACGGGUGAGUAACACGUGGAUAACCUACCUAUAAGACUGGGAUAACUUCGGGAAACCGGAGCUAAUACCGGAUAAUAUUUUGAACCGCAUGGUUCAAAAGUGAAAGACGGUCUUGCUGUCACUUAUAGAUGGAUCCGCGCUGCAUUAGCUAGUUGGUAAGGUAACGGCUUACCAAGGCAACGAUGCAUAGCCGACCUGAGAGGGUGAUCGGCCACACUGGAACUGAGACACGGUCCAGACUCCUACGGGGGGCAGCAGUAGGGAGUCUUCCGCAAUGGGCGAAAGCCUGACGGAGCAACGCCGCGUGAGUGAUGAAGGUCCUCGGAUCGUAAAACUCUGUUAUUAGGGAAGAACAUAUGUGUAAGUAACUGUGCACAUCUUGACGGUACCUAAUCAGAAAGCCACGGCUAACUACGUG